Molecule: long non-coding RNA, 962 nt
Organism: Mugil cephalus (flathead mullet)
Lineage: Eukaryota; Metazoa; Chordata; Actinopteri; Mugiliformes; Mugilidae
Exons: 3
Source: RefSeq, a predicted model, not a curated record
CGAUUGGCCACGAGAGGUGUGGUGCACGUGCGCAUUUUCCUCCGUCCACAUCGUCAGCAUCUCCCACCCUGCUCCAUUUUCCCCCCUGUUGUUCGUCGCUCCUCACUAAUCCAAUUUUAAGUGGUUCUCACGGAAUGCAACAAGACCCAGAGACUGAAACUCCCAGGGGAAGCAUGAAGCAGACGGUGCCAAUGAAAAACUUCCCCUUAACAGGAAGAAACCUCGAGCAGAACCCAGCUCACCUGGAGGAACCCUUCUGCUUGAAUUGUACAGAUUUACAGUGGAAUAUUUGGGAGCUAAUGAGGCUGUGUCAGACUACGUCAACAACAACAGGCCACAACACAUCUCAACAUCCUGGACUCGGAGAGAGUCUUCUUGGCACUUGGAGAAAGAACGAGACACUUUCCAUCUGGUGUUUCUACACAAAGAGGCCAGUUCAGCAAAAGUUCACCACUGUUUAGGUUCAUGGGCCUGGCAGUUCAUUCUCAGGUCAGUGAGGCUUUAUAUCCAUCCUGGGCCUGUUUUUUUCUCUUCUUCCCCAUAAUAAAAUCAGGUCACACAAAGGUAGUUAGACAAGAUUUAUCAUCUAAUGUCAACAUGGGGCCUACACAUGAACCGUUAUUAAGCUUUAUUAUGUAAUAUGUACCUACACUGUUUGUUUUAAAUGUAAUAAAAAGAUGUGUUUGCCAGAAGCACCUUGGGGAGUUGCCACGGAAUAAUGGUUAUCAGCAGCUACAUCCAUUUGGAAACCGUGCAGGAAGAAGGUACUGGAAGGAUGAGAUCAGCGUUCGUUGGCCACGAGAGGAAAGAAAUUAAUCCUCGUUGAUAUCAUUAAUAGCACUUUCACGGCGCAGCCUGCGCAUAAUUCACGUCGUGUCGACUGAUCUGACCCAAGAGAAGAGUUUAUUUCUGCUGCAACAAGUACAGUACUUUUUUGCCAACUACUUUUGUUCAUUUGUUCA